UACGGAGGGGGCGAGCGUUAUUCGGAAUUAUUGGGCGUAAAGGGCGCGUAGGCGGCCAAGUAAGUCAAAGGUGAAAUCCCUCGGCUCAACUGAGGAAUUGCCUUUGAAACUGCGUGGCUUGAGGCCGGGAGGGGGUAGCGGAAUUCCCAGUGUAGCGGUGAAAUGCGUAGAUACUGGGAGGAACACCAGUGGCGAAGGCGGCUACCUGGACCGGUUCUGACGCUGAGGCGCGAAAGCCAGGGGAGCAAACGGG
This 253-nucleotide ribosomal RNA is filed under the name uncultured bacterium. RNAcentral describes it as "partial 16S ribosomal RNA". It matches the Rfam family "Bacterial small subunit ribosomal RNA", at positions 524 to 776 of the family's 1533-position model. The record is from RNAcentral.